RNAcentral lists this ribosomal RNA (527 nucleotides) under Lodderomyces elongisporus. RNAcentral's name for it is "LSU rRNA". It matches the Rfam family "Eukaryotic large subunit ribosomal RNA", at positions 62 to 596 of the family's 3401-position model. Lineage: Eukaryota; Fungi; Ascomycota; Pichiomycetes; Serinales; Debaryomycetaceae. The record is from RNAcentral.
AAACCAACAGGGAUUGCCUUAGUAGCGGCGAGUGAAGCGGCAAUAGCUCAAAUUUGAAAUCUGGCACUUUCAGUGUCCGAGUUGUAAUUUGAAGAAGGUAUCUUUGGGUCUAGCUCUUGUCUAUGUUUCUUGGAACAGAACGUCACAGAGGGUGAGAAUCCCGUGCGAUGAGAUGUCUAGAUCUAUGUAAAGUUCCUUCGAAGAGUCGAGUUGUUUGGGAAUGCAGCUCUAAGUGGGUGGUAAAUUCCAUCUAAAGCUAAAUAUUGGCGAGAGACCGAUAGCGAACAAGUACAGUGAUGGAAAGAUGAAAAGAACUUUGAAAAGAGAGUGAAAAAGUACGUGAAAUUGUUGAAAGGGAAGGGCUUGAGAUCAGACUUGGUAUUUUGUAUGUUACUCUCUCGGGGGUGGCCUCUACAGUUUACCGGGCCAGCAUCAGUUUGAGCGGUAGGAGAAUUGCGUAGGAAUGUGGCUCGGCCUCGGUCGAGUGUUAUAGCCUUCGUCGAUACUGCCAGCUUAGACUGAGGACU